CCUACGGGAGGCAGCAGUGAGGAAUAUUGGUCAAUGGACGAGAGUCUGAACCAGCCAAGUAGCGUGAAGGAUGACUGCCCUAUGGGUUGUAAACUUCUUUUAUAAAGGAAUAAAACGAGGCACGUGUGCCUUUUUGCAUGUACUUUAUGAAUAAGGAUCGGCUAACUCCGUGCCAGCAGCCGCGGUAAUACGGAGGAUCCGAGCGUUAUCCGGAUUUAUUGGGUUUAAAGGGAGCGUAGAUGGGUUGUUAAGUCAGUUGUGAAAGUUUGCGGCUCAACCGUAAAAUUGCAAUUGAUACUGGAAGUCUUGAGUACAGUUGAGGUAAGCGGAAUGCGUGGUGUAGCGGUGAAAUGCUUAGAUAUCACGAAGAACCCCGAUUGCGAAGGCAGCUUACUAAACUGUGACUGACAUUGAUGCACGAAAGUGUGGGUAUCAAACAGGAUUAGAUACCCCUGUAGUC
This 460-nucleotide ribosomal RNA is filed under the name uncultured bacterium. Its description in RNAcentral is "partial 16S ribosomal RNA". It matches the Rfam family "Bacterial small subunit ribosomal RNA", at positions 338 to 795 of the family's 1533-position model. The record is from RNAcentral.